UGGGGGUAUGCUUGCUACCUGCCGGCGAGUGGCGAACGGGUGAGUAAUACAUCGGAACGUGCCCUGUAGUGGGGGAUAACUAGUCGAAAGACUAGCUAAUACCGCAUACGACCUGAGGGUGAAAGUGGGGGACCGCAAGGCCUCAUGCUAUAGGAGCGGCCGAUGUCUGAUUAGCUAGUUGGUGGGGUAAAGGCCCACCAAGGCGACGAUCAGUAGCUGGUCUGAGAGGACGAUCAGCCACACUGGGACUGAGACACGGCCCAGACUCCUACGGGAGGCAGCAGUGGGA
RNAcentral lists this ribosomal RNA (289 nucleotides) under Ralstonia solanacearum. Its description in RNAcentral is "partial 16S ribosomal RNA". It matches the Rfam family "Bacterial small subunit ribosomal RNA", at positions 71 to 358 of the family's 1533-position model. The record is from RNAcentral. Lineage: Bacteria; Pseudomonadati; Pseudomonadota; Betaproteobacteria; Burkholderiales; Burkholderiaceae.